CCUACGGGGGGCAGCAGUGGGGAAUAUUGGACAAUGGGGGCAACCCUGAUCCAGCCAUGCCGCGUGUGUGAAGAAGGCCCUCGGGUUGUAAAGCACUUUCAGUGAGGAAGAACGCCUGGUGGUUAAUACCCAUCAGGAAAGACAUCACUCACAGAAGAAGCACCGGCUAACUCCGUGCCAGCAGCCGCGGUAAUACGGAGGGUGCGAGCGUUAAUCGGAAUUACUGGGCGUAAAGCGCGCGUAGGUGGCUUGAUAAGCCGGUUGUGAAAGCCCCGGGCUCAACCUGGGAACGGCAUCCGGAACUGUCAAGCUAGAGUGCAGGAGAGGAAGGUAGAAUUGCCGGUGUAGCGGUGAAAUGCGUAGAGAUCGGGAGGAAUACCAGUGGCGAAGGCGGCCUUCUGGACUGACACUGACACUGAGGUGCGAAAGCGUGGGUAGCAAACAGGAUUAGAUACCCCUGUAGUC
RNAcentral lists this ribosomal RNA (465 nucleotides) under Vreelandella stevensii. Its description in RNAcentral is "partial 16S ribosomal RNA". It matches the Rfam family "Bacterial small subunit ribosomal RNA", at positions 338 to 795 of the family's 1533-position model. Lineage: Bacteria; Pseudomonadati; Pseudomonadota; Gammaproteobacteria; Oceanospirillales; Halomonadaceae. The record is from RNAcentral.